UAGGGAAUCUUCCACAAUGGACGAAAGUCUGAUGGAGCAACGCCGCGUGAGUGAUGAAGGGUUUCGGCUCGUAAAACUCUGUUGUUGGAGAAGAACAGGUGAUAGAGUAACUGUUAUCAUCUUGACGGUAUCCAACCAGAAAGCCACGGCUAACUACGUGCCAGCAGCCGCGGUAAUACGUAGGUGGCAAGCGUUGUCCGGAUUUAUUGGGCGUAAAGCGAGCGCAGGCGGUUUUUUAGGUCUGAUGUGAAAGCCUUCGACUUAACCGGAGAAGGGCAUCGGAAACCGGGAGACUUGAGUGCAGAAGAGGACAGUGGAACUCCAUGUGUAGCGGUGAAAUGCGUAGAUAUAUGGAAGAACACCAGUGGCGAAGGCGGCUGUCUGGUCUGUAACUGACGCUGAGGCUCGAAAGCAUGGGUAGCGAACAGGAUUAGAUACCCUGGUAGUCCAUGCCGUAAACGAUGAGUGCUAAGUGUUGGGAGGCUUCCGCUCUCNGUGUGCUGCAGCUAACGCAUUAAGCACUCCGC
Molecule: ribosomal RNA, 527 nt
Filed under: uncultured bacterium
Lineage: Bacteria
Description: partial 16S ribosomal RNA
Rfam family: Bacterial small subunit ribosomal RNA
Source: RNAcentral